RNAcentral lists this long non-coding RNA (676 nucleotides) under Coffea arabica (coffee). RNAcentral describes it as "long non-coding RNA (CARA_LNC007403)". Lineage: Eukaryota; Viridiplantae; Streptophyta; Magnoliopsida; Gentianales; Rubiaceae. The record is from RNAcentral.
GCUAAGAUGACCCCGUCCGGUCUCUCACGUCACUUCCUAGUCACUAGAUGUCCGUAGAUUUCUUAUAUUCAUUUUAGUCGGACAAAGCCUGUUCAUGUUCCAAAAUACAAGUCUCAAGUACCUAGUAGCUAGCAUCGCCUCAACUCUGGAGUACUCGGGCACGAGAAUCCGAAAUAAGGUAAUUCACAACUCAAGCCGGCCGGUCCCAAGAGUAUAUCACCAAAUUCGGGAUUCCUACCAAACAUACAUAUCAAAUUCCUCCAAGUAUCAAGAUAAAGGUUUUUAUAACUAUCACAUCUAUGAUCCACCCCUUCACUCUAGAAGAGCACUUAACCCUUUUUCUCAUCCAUAUGAUAAGGACCAUAACACCACUUGGUCCUAUCUUGCUCCUUUGUAGGGACCACGUGAAGUGGCUCUAAAUUACAUCGCUACAAGAAAUCAUUUAACUUUCAAGCCAGUCCCACAGUUUGGCAUCCUAAACAUCAGCCUAGGAUACACUACAAAGAUCUGAAGCCUAAGCUCUGAUACCACCUGUGACGGCUCUGGAAUUUUGAUUUCUAAUGGAACCUUUCUUGAUUUCUUGCUCCCAUCAUCACUAUAACCACUUAUCUAAGCUUAGAUACAACAUAGAUCAUCCAUAUAGCAAGUAUAAGCAGCACAUACCUCAAAAGAAACA